This is a long non-coding RNA of Planococcus citri (citrus mealybug), 825 nucleotides long. RefSeq lists it as uncharacterized. The record is from RefSeq and is a predicted model, not a curated record. The transcript has 4 exons. NCBI's taxonomy places the organism in Eukaryota, Metazoa, Arthropoda, Insecta, Hemiptera, Pseudococcidae.
GUUCAAAUUGGAUCCUAAUUUUUCUUCUUUUGAAAAAGCGUACGUUGCUUGAAUUUACAUACGAUACGAGUACCUACCUCGUACAUAUACAAGGCUUGCUGAGUAGGCUAAAUUUACAGCCUGAAAAAUCCCAACCACGUCGUGUCACAAUGCAAUCGCAUGUUAAUUGAUGCAAUGCGUCGUAUAUUUGCACGUUGUUUGCGCUUUAUUUGAUCGAAUAUGUGCUUCGAAUGGUAUACAACGUUGUCGUCGUCGUCGUCGUUGUGAAUAAGUAAUCUCUCUUAUCGUGUUGAUAUAGCUACUGUAAUUCGAUGUGAGCAACUGCUAUUAUAUCGAAGCUAGGUAUUGAAUUUUCGUCAAUAUUCAGUUCCGGUUCUGGAUUUUAUUUUUCACUAGAAUUACGUUUUUUUUCGCUUGCUGUUUUGGAGAAAUAGCAUGGUAUUCAAUUGCGGGAAUUUUUCAAGGUGAGGUACCUACUUUUCUCGGUGCCACGAUGAGUCCUGGAUAAUUGGGAUGAAAAUUCUCUGAUGUGCUUCAUUUACUCCAACGACCAGAUGUUCCGGGUAGUUUAUCUCUUUGAUCAUCGGUUUGCUAUUGUCCAGUUUCGAAGAAUACGUUUGCUUGGAGUGGCGUUGGUUGGAGAUAGCGGUUUUACAACGUUUUUCGUCGCUGUAGAGCUUCUUUUUAUCUAGCUAAUCCGUUUUACCUAUUUAUAAGUGUCUAUUUCGAUGUAAUUACAAUCAUUUUAAGAUUUAUUCGAUGUAAUUUUAAUUGUUGACGCUUGAUAAAUGCGCAUACAAUAUGUACAUGCUACUCGACGUAGUA